RNAcentral lists this ribosomal RNA (716 nucleotides) under uncultured Pseudomonadota bacterium. RNAcentral's name for it is "bacterial SSU rRNA". It matches the Rfam family "Bacterial small subunit ribosomal RNA", at positions 33 to 739 of the family's 1533-position model. The record is from RNAcentral. Lineage: Bacteria; Pseudomonadati; Pseudomonadota.
ACGCUGGCGGCAUGCUAACACAUGCAAGUCGAACGGUAACAGGAAGAAGCUUGCUUCUUUGCUGACGAGUGGCGGACGGGUGAGUAAUGUCUGGGAAACUGCCUGAUGGAGGGGGAUAACUACUGGAAACGGUAGCUAAUACCGCAUAACGUCGCAAGACCAAAGAGGGGGACCUUCGGGCCUCUUGCCAUCGGAUGUGCCCAGAUGGGAUUAGCUAGUAGGUGGGGUAACGGCUCACCUAGGCGACGAUCCCUAGCUGGUCUGAGAGGAUGACCAGCCACACUGGAACUGAGACACGGUCCAGACUCCUACGGGAGGCAGCAGUGGGGAAUAUUGCACAAUGGGCGCAAGCCUGAUGCAGCCAUGCCGCGUGUAUGAAGAAGGCCUUCGGGUUGUAAAGUACUUUCAGCGGGGAGGAAGGGAGUAAAGUUAAUACCUUUGCUCAUUGACGUUACCCGCAGAAGAAGCACCGGCUAACUCCGUGCCAGCAGCCGCGGUAAUACGGAGGGUGCAAGCGUUAAUCGGAAUUACUGGGCGUAAAGCGCACGCAGGCGGUUUGUUAAGUCAGAUGUGAAAUCCCCGGGCUCAACCUGGGAACUGCAUCUGAUACUGGCAAGCUUGAGUCUCGUAGAGGGGGGUAGAAUUCCAGGUGUAGCGGUGAAAUGCGUAGAGAUCUGGAGGAAUACCGGUGGCGAAGGCGGCCCCCUGGACGAAGA